RNAcentral lists this ribosomal RNA (440 nucleotides) under uncultured bacterium. RNAcentral's name for it is "partial 16S ribosomal RNA". It matches the Rfam family "Bacterial small subunit ribosomal RNA", at positions 338 to 795 of the family's 1533-position model. The record is from RNAcentral.
CCUACGGGUGGCAGCAGUAGGGAAUUUUGCGCAAUGGACGACAGCCUGACGCAGCAACGCCGCGUGAACGAGACGCCCUUCGUGGUUUAAAGUUCUGUCAUUUGUGACGAUAGAUGACUGUACCCACAGAGUAAUCACCGGCUAACUCCGUUCCAGCAGCCGCGAUAAUACGGAGGGUGCCAGCGUUGUCCGUAUUCAUUGGGCGUAAAGCGUUCGUAGGCGGUAUGUUAAGUCUGGUGUUAAAUGCAGCAGCUCAACUUCUGUUGGGCACUGGAUACUGGCAAACUAGAAUACGGUAGAGGUGAAGGGAAUUCGUGGUGUAGCGGUGAAAUGCUUAGAUAUCAGGAGGAACACCGGUGGCGUAGGCACUUUACUGGGCUGUAAUUGACGCUGAGGAACGAAAGCCAGGGUAGCAAAUGGGAUUAGAUACCCGGGUAGUC